This is a long non-coding RNA of Phacochoerus africanus (Common warthog), 1955 nucleotides long. RefSeq lists it as uncharacterized. The transcript has 4 exons. Lineage: Eukaryota; Metazoa; Chordata; Mammalia; Artiodactyla; Suidae. The record is from RefSeq and is a predicted model, not a curated record.
UGAGCCACAACAGGAACUCCCAGAGUUUUUGGUUUUUGAUUCUGGAAUCCAGCAGGCUGGUCAAGAUGCACAUUUUGUCUUCCUUCCCUUACUAGUUGGGUGGCCUUAGCCAAGUUGCUUGAUGUCUUUGGAUCCUAACUUGCACCAUCAUCCUGAGGAUCAAACAGGUCGGUGUGGAUGAGAGUGUUUUGCAAGGCUGUGUGCAGAUGUCCAGUGUCCAUUCUAAAUGCUGAGGGACACACAGGUGGAGGGGCCACCACAGGCAGGCGAGGACAAUCAAGGGUGGCUUCCAGUGUUUAGAAAUGAGGGAGGGGAUCGCUGGGGCGGAGAGCGCAGGUUCUCUGGGUGCAAAACGUGAUGAAGGUCUGGCUGGGCUCCGUGACCGGCCGGAGCUCUCUGGUCUCAAGCGGGUGAACAUCUUGCUGAGAAUGGUUUGGGUGGCACUUGCUUUUAACAACUAGAUGAUGAAAUGGCCUCCAGGACCACAGCUUCUUUCAUCCUUCUCAGGAGGCGCUUCCUGCUGGCCCCGUGAGAACCCCGUCCAGCAAAUUCUGGGAUGAGAGGAGGGUGGCGUGAAGCUCCAUUUUUCCCCAUUGCCCUGACCUGCUCCCCACAUCUCAAUGUUCUCCGGAGGGAACAUUAGCCAGACAUUGUGACCCUCUGCUGAAUGAACACAAAAUGGUUCCUCCAAGCCCUGCCACUCGGAACCCACCCAAGUCUGAUUUUAUGCUUCCUUGGCAUUGUCAGGAGUGAGCUCAAUUCAGACCAAUUUAGAUCUCUCGGCCCAUGGGCCAGGGGGACUUUGAGCAGGAGGGUCUUUUGUCUCUAAGCAGUCAUUCCUUGUUGUACAAGCAAGAGUCAGGAGGAGGGAUGGUUUUGGCCUCAUCCCCCACAGACAGCAGUGGAGCCUUUAGGCCUGGAGGGAAGGGCCAGGCUGAGGCUGGCAUAUGGAGGGAGAGCCCUGGGCACAGGGGGCAUGAGCUUCACCCAGCUGGGGCUACCUUCUGCUGGGUUUGUCCAUCUGGCACCAGCUGGCUUCCCGGCACCGUCCCCACAACCAACCAGACUCCUUCGGCUGUGGUUGCCAUGGCAAUUGGCUGCCAUCUUGUACUUAGGGCACUAUCUCAUAUCUGGAAUUUCCCAUGGGGUUCCUGGAGGAUGGGAGAUAGGUCUCCAGGGAUUUAGCCUUUCCUCUUUAUAUCCGCCCAAUGAAAAUUCAUAUUAAUAUACGAUUUUUAAAAAUAGCCAAAAUGAAGGCUUACUUUAUGUGAGGCUCUGCUAAAUACUCCCUAUGUGUUAUUUCAUUGGGCUACGAAAGCAUUAAUGAAAUAAAAUUCAAGAGGUCCCCACCCAGUUUCCUGUUUCUAUGAUAGACUUUUUCUCUCUCCAACCAGGAACUGCCAGGUCUUGCUUACUCCUGCCUUGGGAAGUCCUUCCCAAUGUCUAACCAAGAUCUGUACCGCUGAAGUACCAGUUCUUUGACCCUCGGCUUGACAUGGCUAAUCUGAGAGGCACAGGGAGGAACUGACCUUGAUUUGGCACCCGCUUGCUUGUUCCUGAAAACUGAGUGAUACUGUCGCCACUACAAAAAGACAUAAUCAGAGCCCCAAGUCACAGGACUGACCAAAAAGAAGAACCUACUUCACCCACUUGUCCUGGGUUCCCUCUGAGACGCUGUCUUGAUUGACUGAAAGAUGAGGCUAAACUCUAGCAAGUUGAGUGGCUCCUCCCAGAAUCCUUUAAGCAGGAUAGAAGUGGGGAGGCCCCAGCCUCCAGCCUGGGCAGCCCGUUAGACUGGAGCCGCCUGGCAAAGACUUUAUUUCAUCAUUGCUCCAGUGUCUGCAAGCUGUCCAUCCUGGCCAGCCCUGGUUUCCCCUGUGUCGUCUGAACUGAGAAUCUUCUGAGAUGGAAGUCCCAUCUCAUGCCUAAUAAAGACUCUCAAAUAUUGAACAACA